This 469-nucleotide ribosomal RNA is filed under the name uncultured bacterium. RNAcentral's name for it is "partial 16S ribosomal RNA". It matches the Rfam family "Bacterial small subunit ribosomal RNA", at positions 28 to 507 of the family's 1533-position model. The record is from RNAcentral.
GACGAACGCUGGCGGCGUGCUUAACACAUGCAAGUCGAACGGAAAGGCCCUGCUUGCAGGGUGCUCGAGUGGCGAACGGGUGAGUAACACGUGGGUGAUCUGCCCCUUACUUUGGGAUAAGCCUGGGAAACUGGGUCUAAUACUGGAUAGGACCAUGCUGUAGGUGGUGUGGUGGAAAGAUUAGUUUCGGUAAGGGAUGAGCUCGCGGCCUAUCAGCUUGUUGGUGGGGUAAUGGCCUACCAAGGCGUCGACGGGUAGCCGGCCUGAGAGGGUGGACGGCCACAUUGGGACUGCGAUACGGCCCAGACUCCUACGGGAGGCAGCAGUGGGGAAUAUUGCACAAUGGGCGCAAGCCUGAUGCAGCGACGCCGCGUGGGGGAUGACGGCCUUCGGGUUGUAAACUCCUUUCAGCCAUGGCGAAGCCCUUGUGGUGACGGUAGUGGUAGAAGAAGCACCGGCUAACUACGUG